This 499-nucleotide ribosomal RNA is filed under the name uncultured Corynebacterium sp. RNAcentral describes it as "partial 16S ribosomal RNA". The record is from RNAcentral. Lineage: Bacteria; Bacillati; Actinomycetota; Actinomycetes; Mycobacteriales; Corynebacteriaceae.
CACGUAGUUAGCCGGUGCUUCUUAUCUAGGUACCGUCACACAAAGUUUCGUCCCUAGCGAAAGGAGUUUACAACCCGAAGGCCUUCAUCCCCCACGCGGCGUCGCUGCAUCAGGCUUGCGCCCAUUGUGCAAUAUUCCCCACUGCUGCCUCCCGUAGGAGUCUGGGCCGUAUCUCAGUCCCAAUGUGGCCGUACACCCUCUCAGGCCGGCUACCCGUCGCCGCCUUGGUAGGCCAUUACCCCCACCAACAAGCUGAUAGGCCGCGAGCUCAUCCUACACCGAAAAAACUUUCCAACCACCACACUAAAGAUGGCUCCUAUCCGGUAUUAGACCCAGUUUCCCAAGCUUAUCCCGAAGUGCAGGGCAGAUCACCCACGUCGUUACUCCACCCGUUCGCCACUCGAGUACCCUGCCAAGCAGGGCCCUUUCGUUCGACUUGCAUGUGUUAAGCACGCCGCCACGGCGUUCGUCCGUCGAGGCCAGGACUCAAAACGUUCCU